UGACGGUUGAAAAAAGAAUGAGAAGAACGAAUGCCUUUGUUCCAACAAUUAAAAAGAGUGAAAAUGAGAAGAAGAACCAGAUUUGCCCAUUGUUCUUUACCAUCAAAUCUCCAUUCUCCUCUCGCCAAUAACCAUUGAAGAGACAACCAUUCCUGAUGAUCUUAGAUAUAAGAAGGUUUGGAUUCUUUGCAACGACUGUAAUGCCACAAUUGAAAUAUUCUUCCACAUAAUCGGGCAGUAAGUGCAGUCAUUGUCAAUCAUACAACACUCACAUGAUUGCACCUCUUGUUCUUUCUCAGUAACUUUUAUUCUAGACAAAACUGAUUGUUUGUGAUGCUGAAACCUGGUGCGAUGAACGUGAGACCGAAGAAAU
Capsicum annuum is the source of this 373-nucleotide long non-coding RNA. RefSeq lists it as uncharacterized. The record is from RefSeq and is a predicted model, not a curated record. NCBI's taxonomy places the organism in Eukaryota, Viridiplantae, Streptophyta, Magnoliopsida, Solanales, Solanaceae. The transcript is spliced from 4 exons.